AGUUGUUGCGGUUAAAAAGCUCGUAGUUGAAAUUGUGCCUUGCGGCGUCGGUCUACCGACUGCGGUACGACAGGCGCGUCAGCGGGGCUUCUCGCCGGUGCGUCCUCCGCCCGAAGCGUUCAACGGCCGCGCCCGUCCCUCGGGGCGGGCCGGUCGCGCGCCGAGGCGGGCCGUCGCGGCUGUUUACUUUGAACAAAUUAGAGUGCUCAAAGCGGGCUCAUUCUCGCCUGAAUAUUGUACGCAUGGAAUAAUGGAAUAGGACCUCGGUUCUGUUUUGUUGGCUUUCUGAUACCGGAGGUAAUGAUUAAUAGGGACGACUGGGGGCAUUCGUAUUGCGACGUUAGAGGUGAAAUUCUUGGAUCGUCGCAAGACGGACUAAAGCGAAAGCAUUUGCCAAAGGUGUUUUCAUUAAUCAAGAACGAAAGUUAGAGGUUCGAAGGCGAUUAGAUACCGCUGUAGUUCUAACCAUAAAUGAUGCCAGCCAGCGAUCCGCCGUCGUUUUCAUCUAAAUAACCCGGUGGGCAGCUCCCGGGAAACCAAAGCUUUC
This 547-nucleotide ribosomal RNA is filed under the name Protoptila tenebrosa. RNAcentral's name for it is "bacterial SSU rRNA". It matches the Rfam family "Eukaryotic small subunit ribosomal RNA", at positions 608 to 1108 of the family's 1831-position model. The record is from RNAcentral. Lineage: Eukaryota; Metazoa; Arthropoda; Insecta; Trichoptera; Glossosomatidae.